AACGUAGGAGGCGAGCGUUAUCCGGAGUGACUGGGCGUAAAGCGCGUGUAGGCGGUCAGGCAAGCUGGGUGUGAAAGCGCCAGGCUCAACCUGGCGAGGCCAUCCAGGACUGCGUGGCUGGAGGCCGGUAGAGGAGUGCGGAAUUCCGGGUGUAGCGGUGAAAUGUGUAGAGAUCCGGAGGAACACCAGUGGUGCAGACGGCGCUCGGGGCCGGACCUGACGAUGAGACGCGAAAGCGUGGGGAGCAAACAGG
Molecule: ribosomal RNA, 253 nt
Filed under: uncultured bacterium
Lineage: Bacteria
Description: partial 16S ribosomal RNA
Rfam family: Bacterial small subunit ribosomal RNA
Source: RNAcentral